AAUGUUAAAACUAUGCAGAUAUUUCAGAUAUCAAAAUGUAAGAUUUACAUUGCUAUCAUCAUCUCCCGGUCAAAAUGUACACGAUUAUACUGUUAAAACUAGGAACAGUGAAAUAUUUAUGAAGCCAGGAACUUCUCUGAGGUCCUAGUGAAACUAGGAGCUGCUUUGAGCUCGUUGUGAAAUCAGCAGAAACUGCUCUGUGAGCUUCCCGGGAUUCCAGGAACUGCUUUGCGAGCUCCUUUGUGAAACUAAAUACUGCUCUCUUAAGCCUUCGUGAAACCAAGAACUGCUCUGAGCUCCUCGUGACUAGGAAUUGUGAAAUCAGGAUCUUGAGCGACUACUAGAUGUACAGUAUGGAUGUAACACAGCUGGGAGGGGUGCUAAAGGAUGUGUUCCGUGUGUCCCAGGAAAUACGACGAGUAUCUGACCCAGACAAAGCUCAGAUUAUCUGGGAUGGAAUAAAAACGGUGCGAGCUCAGAAACAGAUUCCCGCCCUCCCUCGGCUCUCUAGAUACAUGAACAGGAAUUAUAAACUAGAUAAAGAGACUACACAACGACUACUAGAUCUAGCAGUAGAAGAUAAUCUGAUAAAACUACACAAGAAAGUCGGAACUAAGGGGAAUAAAGCAGGAGUUGAAGAAGAUGCCUACAGAUUACCGACUGAGGAUAUGUUGCCGUUUGAGCGGCAUGAUUGGUAUUGCUUCCAUUGUCAUUCUGGUGGUGAGGUUAUACUGUGCAGGGACUGCCAUAGGGUUUAUCAUCAAAGCUGUCUUAAGGACGAGCUGAUCGACCAUUUAGUGUUCGUUUGUCAAUACUGUCGAGGCUUCCAGACAAUCCCGACAGAGUUCGAUAAAAACGAGAGACGAGAUCUUAAUCAUCUUCUUAGCAUAGUAGCAACAAGGUUAAAAGAAAAGAUGCCCCACAGUAUCCUAUCCCGUGCUCCUCCUCCCCCUGCUAAGAAUCCAUAUUUGACCAGUGACCGGAAAGCUACUGUAGGUGAGGGUGGGAUUGUGAACUCGGCUGACCGGGAAGCGUUUGCUAGUUUUGGUGAGGAGAAAUGGCGCGCUAAGUUUCUAUUAAAAAGACAUAUAGACCUUGACGAGGUUUAUCUUAAAGCACAGUCAACACAGUACAGAGUACCAGACGAAUUCAGAUCUGAUGUUCAAAAUAUUGUUCAUAAUGUUGUGAUCUAUCACGGAAACUACAGUACAAUGGCUGACCAGGCGAAACAGAUGUUUAGAUCUUGUAUAACAGAACUAGCUGAGAUAUCGGCCUGUAGGGACUGCUAUAGGUUUGCCAGCACACGAGGAGAUAAAUAUUGGUUUGCAAAACCCUGCAGACCCUUUCACGAGAUAGUAUACGCUCAACAGUCAGGGUACCCCUACUGGCCGGCGAAAGUUGUUGGAACCUCGGAGGACGGGGAGCUGGAGGUCAGAUUCUUCGGAGGAUACCAUCAGAGGGCCAGGGUCAAUAAGAAGGAUGUCAAACCAAUCUCUACAAAUGUUCAUAGUCUGCAAAUCAAGAAGACAAGUGGGUGGAACAAGGCUAGUGAAGAGCUGAGUAGGUAUCAGGAACUACUGGAUAAGUGUAAACACAACUCUAACUUCCUGACCAACUACUACGGGGACCCGUUCGACGGAGAGAAGGUGUCACAGCUUACAGGUGACAAGUUUGGUGGAGAUAGUGAAUCUGAUAGUGAGGAGGAUACAAACCAACCUGGAGAACCAGGCUCUUGUCUAGCUAAUCUAGAUUUCUCAGGUAAACCAAGAAACAAGGAUACAAACCAACCUGGAGAUUCGGGAUCUUGUCUAGCUAAUCUAGAUUUCUCAGGUCUACCCUCAACUCAACCUGUUUUGACUCCCCUGACUCCAAUCUCACGAACAUCUGGUCCGCAAACUCCAACCAAUAGAUUCCCAACCAAACUCAGGCGGAUAGAACCUAAACCUCUUGGAGGUAUGGAAACCACAACUGCUAGUGUUCCCAACAACAUCAAUCAACAACAAUCAAUGAUGUUGCCGUUAACAGUAGUUACUGUUCCACAGGUUUCACAUCAACAGAUGCAGAUUCAACAACACGGUCUUCAUCUGUCUGGUCUUACCCCUGGCCAACAUAUGCCUCAGCUGUCCCAAUCCCAACAGCUGUCCCAGUCGCAGCAGUUGUCCCAACAAAUAUCCCAGUCCCUGACCCCCCAGCAUGUUCCUCAAUAUCAUAAUCUUCAACCUCAGAUAUCUCAGCAUCAAUCUUUGCAGCAGCAUGUUCAGAUGCAGUCUCUCUCCUCCCCUCAUCAUCCUUCUCUUCAUAUACAGUUCGAUACAGGGUUGCAGCAUGAGGAUCUUCUAAAUAUUAGUCCCACUCAUCAUCUUCAGCAACCUCAGCUUCAGAUUCAUCUAGAUCAACAACAGAUACAACAAGAUCAACAGAUUCAACAACAGCAGUUACAACAGCAGCAGCAACAGCUUCAACAGGAACAGUUGAUACAACAGCAACAGUCUCAAGCAGAACAGCAACAAACACAACAACAGCAGCAGAUGCAGACGAUCAGCCAACAAAUUCAGAUUCCUUCUGAGUUUGGUGUGAAGGAUGAUCAGAACAAGCUGUUGAGACCUUUGGUCAAGGAGGAGCUUAGGGAGGAGGGGGAGGGAGACGAUGCUGUUUCAUCCAGUAGCCAUCUUACAAGGUUUGUGAGUGUAUCUGUGCAGACUCCCAACAAGUUAUUAAGAAUGGUUGCUGAAGAGAUUUGUGGGCAGAACAGGGGGAAACCAGCGGAUAAGGACUUUAAGGAGUUUGCCGAGAAGCUUCGAGCUGAAUUUGAUCAAGAGAAGAAGAGAGCUGUAAAUGUUGCAACAAGAAGUCUGGAGAGAGAUCUUGAGAGAUUAAAGGCGGACCACACAACUGAGCUGGAGAACCUAUCGGAGAAGCAAAGGGUUGAGUUGAGUGAGAGUAAGAGGAAGCAGUGGUGUUAUAAUUGUGAAUCAGAGGCUAUAUACUGGUGCUGCUGGAAUACAGCUUACUGUAGUACUGACUGCCAACAGUCACAUUGGCACAGAGAGCAUAAGCGGAUGUGCAGAAGAAAACGAUAAAUCUGAAACCUUGGUUUAUGCAACAAUCCUAUAAUUUAAUCAUCCUCUCCCCUUCCUUCUUAGUUAAAAAGAAACCUGUUUCAUCAGUAAUUCAGAUGCAUUAAAGGGACUGUGUGUGUAAUUUCAAGUGACCCUCCAUUCAAAGAUGUUAUUGUCCGAUCUUCAAUUGUUCUCUUGAAAGCUAUGUCUGAUACAGAAUGAACUAGAUAUCAAUGUUUUUGUUUCCUUAAACUGUUUUUUUUUUCAUUUGCGGUUUCUCUGCACAAUUGACUUGCGCAUUUCUUGUUUAUAAUAGAGAAACUCACUAAAAUAAACGCUUGACGAGUAAGACGAACGAUCGUCAGUUUCUUCCACACUUUACGGAUUCAAGGGUGCCGUUGUAAAUCGAGCAUUGUAAUCUUUCGAUUGAGGGUCACGUAGAGUAACUUUAAGAACUUGACCAAAUUGCUUCAAAUUGAAGGGGUUGUGACCUAAAGACAAUUUUACUUUUAAAGAUUUUAAAACUAGCUUUUCUAUCUUGUAACAUGUUUUUGAGUGUGAACUUCUUCAGUCAUUCUGGAAUUGAGUGUUUUAUAUCGUUGUAAUUAAACUAGACAAAUGUUUUUAAAUGUUUUUAGUCCAAUUCGCCAUUGAUGUUAAGAUUGAUCGUCUUUCAUUUCUAACAAUUACUUAGAAGAAAGUGUUAUUUUGAAAAUAUUCUAAUUUCAAAUUAGAAUAAAUCUCGUGUGUGAAACCAAAAUUGAUGCAAAAUUAUUGGAAAUUUUGAAAAAUCGUUUCUUAAUCAAGAUUAUUUUUGUAUUUGAAAUCUAACUCGUUCAGAAUUCAUUGAUUGUCAAGUUGUACACUGUACAGUUUUCCCCAUUCUUGUACUUUAUAGUGCUGAGAAGUACAGCUUUGAAUGUCAGUACGCAUUUUAAAACAUAUCUUAAAAAUCCUCGAAUUUCCUGUACAAUGUACAGGAAACGGUUAUCUGUGUACAAUAUGCUCCUUCUUAAGAUCUGAAAAAAUGUUUAUCUUUUUAAAUCCUGCAGGGUUCAGUUUUCAAGUCAUUUCAAGUAUGUAUUGUACAGUUUUUACAUUUUAUGUACAGUAACAAGAAGUUUUAUUUGCUUUUUUUAUUUCUAUGUAGUGUAUGUACAUAAUUAAAGCUAAUUUCCGAAAAAUCAAUAGAUCUAAAAAUGUGCGAACCAUCUUCCCUAAAAUAUCUCAAG
Molecule: RNA transcript, 4291 nt
Organism: Eurytemora carolleeae
Lineage: Eukaryota; Metazoa; Arthropoda; Copepoda; Calanoida; Temoridae
Gene name: zinc finger MYND domain-containing protein 11
Exons: 25
Source: RefSeq, a predicted model, not a curated record